Molecule: long non-coding RNA, 6414 nt
Organism: Aphis gossypii (cotton aphid)
Lineage: Eukaryota; Metazoa; Arthropoda; Insecta; Hemiptera; Aphididae
Exons: 13
Source: RefSeq, a predicted model, not a curated record
AAAGUUUCAAAUUGUACAUAAAAAAACUAUCAACUCAUUUUUUCGGGUAAGUGGCCAGCCCUAUACAAAACCGAAUUGAACGUGGGUGAUUAUCUGUUCGUGAAAAAAAAAAAACAAAAAUGUAACCAAAUGUACUCGUGAAUCGACUCACAUUACUAAGGACGCCACAUCAGCAUAAUAUUAUAUUAUCAUAGUGAAAUUACAUUCAGAAAAAUCAAUUUUAUGUUGCUUGCUUUUUAAAUAUUAUAAAUGAAUUGAUUUAUCUACCUGUUGUCAAAACAAUUGAAAGUAUAGGACAUAUUAUCUGAUAAUGCAUUUCUGAUUUUAUUAUAGCCUAUUGCUGGUUCAAUAUUCACGUGACUGUUUUAUCUACUUUGAGUGUAACUUAAAUAUCAUAUACAUAUGCAUAUUGCAUACAUUUACGUAAUAUCACAAACACAUAAAUUUACUUUACAUAAUAGACGAAAAAUGUCGUCUAUAAAAACAUUCACUCAGAUCAGAAAAUUUCUGUAUUAAAGCUGCUGUAUACAACAAUAAUAAUAUUAUAAUUUAUAAUAAAAUCACAAUAUCUAACCUAAACGGCUUAUUACGGUUCUUUGUGAUACUUUACUCUUGAAAGUUGCAACGAUAAAAAUAUAUUAUGAUUGCAAUACUACAAGACGUAUAGUAGUGCAACUUCAACGCUCUCAAAUACGACGAAAUAACGCUUAUCAUAGAAAGUUCAAUCUCUUUGCAGCUUUAUACAGAUAUAUGAUGGACAAGACAUCGAAACAAUAGUUUAAUUCAAAUGGAAAUUAAUACUCAUCCUCCACCCACACUGAACAAGUAAAUUCACUCAAGUAUUAAAGCUAACUGCAUAAAAUCGAUCCCGCUGAACGAAAAUUUGCUAUAUGUUGUACGCGCAUGUAAAACCACGGAGACAAUAACACAUGCCGGUGUGGCGUCCUCUUAACAUCACUGUCGUAAAUUGUGUAUAUACGAUGACAUGCGUGUGCAUAAAUAAUAUCAAUCGAUGUGUACGACUGUGAUAGCAACUUGUUUAUAAACGUCUGGUGGCUGCUACAGAUUUUGGACCACACUUUAGCGUCCGAAAACAUUCAUCCCGACGAUCCGACGAAUCAUUUGAUCGAGAAUUUGACAGUAAUAAAUACUCUACAUUAUAAGUAAUAAGACAACUUCAGCAAUGGUUAUCGGUUUGUUCAGUGAUAAUAAUGGCUACAUAGCAGUGUCAAAAAUAUGCCGUAACCUAAAACUAUUUAAUCCAGGAUUUAUUUCAAAGAUUGAUAUCUCACUUCAAGGCCAUAAUUGGAAAAAUGUGAGAUACGUUAUUCAAGACACGCUUAUGGUUGGAGAUAACACAACAGCCCAAUUACAAAAUAUGUUAUAAACACCGACUCACAGCUGCAACCCAAACGAACCGGUUGCCCACCGCCGAUUUCCUAUAUUGGAAAACAUGCCCAAUUUCCACUCGGCGAGAGCGCCGCGCGCCGAGUCAUCUAAUCGAGUUAUGCAAAUGCGGACGCGUAUGCACACAGGACACGGCGUUCCCACAGUCCGAGUGGCGGGGCGUGUGUCUUAUACAAUACCGAUCUGAACCAACGAAUUUAUUGAUAAGUUUUCAUUGAUUCCUUGUUAUCCGUUCAUAUUUUUAUAUAGGUACUAACCAAAUCUAUACAGGAGUAUGACAUACUGUUUUGAUAAGUGCAAUUAAUUCGAUAGUCCAUGGUUUCAAGAGUAUUCACACUACAACCAACAAAUCAUAAUAGAUAUCAGUACAUGUAUAUGUCUACUGUCUAGUUAUUGACUAAUUCACCACGACAGUACUAGGAUACGGUAACCAAGUUUCGACAGUUGUAUACGAAUUAAUAACACGUCUGUGUAAGGACUAAGGACUAUCGACUGCGUUUAAGGAGUAUGUAUAUUAUAAUUAUAGUUCGGGGAAAUGUUGCAUGCGGAUAUUCCCCUUCACCAAACCACCGAGUGAUCAACAGUGCGACAUAUACCUACAUUUUUUUUUUAAUAUCACCUUUAAAUACAAGCUAUGACCCAAUUCACAUGGUUUAGACUUAUUCAGAGUAACAUUUUUUGCCGAUGCUCAGCCUCGAAGUCAGCGAAUCCAUUGCAGAUGAUUGUAUACUUAUCAAUUCGAAGUGCCUCGAAAAUAUCAUUUAAUUGAUCAUAUGUUGUACUAAUAUAGCCAAUGACGCCUAAAGCCCAAUAUAAGUGCCAUAAGUACGCCGUUACUUGUGCGAUCACGCACGUAAUGUAUGAACGAAUACAGGCAUUGUGUUCACAGCGGGGUCCAGACAAUUUCAUUCAACAACUGCAGCAACAGAUUAAGGAAUAUUUAUAUUUACCAUAUGCGUAUGUGUCAUGCGUGUGUGUGCGUACAACGCAAAUUUAAGUUUUUGUAUGGAACCGGAAGAAAUGAUUAUUUAUUUAUUGAAUUAAGUAUACAAGUACCAUAAAAAAAAUAUCGAUGGAACUUUUGCGGCCAACGACUGUAGCAGUGCGUAAGUACGACUGGCUCCUAUAUUAUUUAAUAAUAAUUAUCAUUUAUCACGCAUCGUCGUAACCAAUAAAUUAAUAGGUACCUAUUAUAUACAAAUAACAAAUGUACGCGCACACAUUAAUAUUAUAUUGUUUUCAGACUAUACACUACGGUUGAGCCGGGUAAACACCUUAAACAUAGAGUAUUAAAUGUAUAAUAUUAUGCGAUAUUAUAUUGUUGUAUUGCGUCCGUUCGGCGCGCGCGCUAGUAAUAAUAUAAAUAAUAAUGACGGUUUCCACGAAAUAACCGUCGUUAAAUCUAUGUGGCAGGACGGUGUUGUACGACAUAGUAAUACGUACCUAUGUGUUUUAUCGUUAUUAUUAUGUCGCCCUACGCCUGUCGGUGACGUUGCGGCUAGACGUUUCCGCCUCGAAACGGACGACACGUUUUUACGAUCGCGAUUUCCGCAUUUCGAUCGCACCGGUAUGUUCUAUUAGAAAUAUCAUAACGAUUUUUUACGGGCUGUGUAGCGAUCGUCCGUUGUCCAUUUUACGAUCGACGAAAAAUAACGCGCCGUAAACGACCGCACCUAUGUACCAACACGAGUGAACGCGGUCGAUCACAAUAUUUACAAUUUUCUUUCGUAUCAGCAUAGGUAUUGGCGGCUACAAAGGAGAGAAAAAAAGGGAAACGCCGCGUACCUUUCGCUGCAAACCCGUAAUAUAAUAUACCGCAAUAACGUAUAUUAUAAUACGCAGGUACUCGGAAGAGUUUUUGAAAAUCGAACGCUGUUGCAGUUCCGCCGCCGCGACACCGUCAACACGGAAACCGCGCUGUACCACAUGUGACCCUCCUGCGGGUGUAACAACCCCCGAAAUUCUCGUUUAUGUAUUUUAAUAUACUUUCCCCCUUAUACCCACGUCGCUCGCACGUAUAACGGUACCCAUAUCCGUGAGAUAGUUAUCGACCCGGCCGCGAUGAAUCUCUGCAGCAAACGCGUCCCUCUCACGCAUACCGCGCAGUGUACCUGUUGCUCGACGCCACCACCUGUUGCAUAUAGAGCGCAACAACAAUAUACCUGUUGAUCAUCACACACACAUAUUAUAUGUAUAAUAUUACCAUGUGGCAAACAAUAUAUAGUAAUGCACCUACCUUCAGUGUGUGUAAUGUGUAUCGUAUAUAUAUAUAUACAGCGGAGAACAGUAUAGAAAAAAAGCGAAGACCGCAACACCCUUCGCUUUCACGGGACGUGAGUACAAAAAAUAAAGUACAAACAACCGUUUUCCGUUUCCCUUUCGGUAUAUACAUGCGCGCAUCGCUCGGGCUGUGCGGGCUGCUGCGGAACCGUCUCAUCCUCCGUCGUCUCGGCCGUCGCGGACCUUGCUGCAGGUGCGUGUGCGGUAAUAACGUCGACGACGACCCGCGGGUCGUGGACGGGACCUAUCCGCUUUAUAUUUAUUUGUUUAUAUUUUUUUUCGGGAUGCCAACUGUUAUUUUAUUAUGUUUUUUACGUACCAAAAUAAUAAUACAUAUUAUAAUAUACGGCAGUUGUGUGUACACCUAACGGAACUCGGGUUCUUAUAGCUAUAUGAUGCCUGUAUUGUAUAUUAUAAUAUACAGUUAGGUGUACUUACCUGACGACUAGCACAGAUUUCUUACAUGUUUAUGUUUAUAUAUAGAACGCUGCAUUAUGUAUACUCGCGACUAAUGUGUGUGUGCGCAGACCCUGCACGACCGUGGCCGAGACGAUAUUGUAAAUUAUGAUAAACGCACAGUUCGAUUUUUUUUUGUUCUCGUUCGUUUGAAAGGGACAUUGAAAGAAAGAAAAAACGACGGAUAAACUUUGUUUCAUUAUCGUUGUCAUUAUAAUACGUACGCGAACCAUAAAAAUAAGCAUAAUGUAUAUGUUUUCGGAAUAUACGUAUACCUAUAUGUAUAUACGUAUAGUAUAAUCAUGGGCUGCAGGUACAAGGCGAUUCUUCUAAAGAUAGGUUAUUUUCUCAUAAUAUAAUAUAUAAUAUACAUGCUAAAAAUAUAUUUUUUUUUUAAACUACUUGUACUCAUUAUAAAGUAACGUUUUUAAGAUGAAAUUAUGUAUUUUAAUCGUCUUUUAAGUUUUAUUCUUCUAUUUUGAAGAAAAGCUAGCUUAUUUUAAUUCAAUAUGAAGUAGAAUACUUUUUUGAGAAUCUCAAUGUAUUGACAUCUCAUUUUUAAGUGUUUAAGUUUAGAGGAGCGUACUGUUUCGGAAUAUGAACAUAAAAAUGUUUGUUUUUCCAAAAAAAAAUUAAAAUUAAAAAACGAUAAUAACUGUAAAUUUUUUCUAAUGUUAUUUAAUUUGUCUUGAAAUAUCUUCAAAUUACAAAUCGUUCCGUAAACAUUAAGCAAACGUUUUCAAAACAAUGAUUGUUUUCCUUUAAAAAAUCAUCUUGCAUGAUAUCAUAAUGUACAACACACAUACAUGUGUGCGUGCGGCGUGACCAUACAGGUAUAGUUUUCCGAAGCAAUUGCGUUGCCAGUUGUGGGUUUUCUGUUGGAAACCUGUUCGUCGUAUAGACGUAUAGUAUAGUAUUAUAUAAGUAACGAGUAUACACUAUAUCUUCACUAAGUCCAAACGUGUUGAGAAAAAAAAACCACUGAGUUACGUUUUCAACAACACUUCGGGGAGAUUAUUUUGACCAAUAAAUCAAAUCGGAUUUAUUACAAUCGUACCGUUCAACGUUAUAUAUAUAUUAUAAACGAUAUAUCGUAUACCUAUUACUGUAUAUAUAUCUACCUAUAUCAUUAUAUAUUAUCAGCGAACACAAGUCGAACGCGCGCGGCUUUUAGAUUAUGCGUUAAUAUUUUAUUUUCGUCCUAUGCGUUAAAAUAUGUUUAUAUUGUGUGUACACAAGAAGAAAAUCAAAUGCAUUAUUCAUAAACAGAGUUCAACAUAUUAUUAUACAUGAUAUCGGUACACCGUCGACUUCCAACACCUAUUAUAUGGCGAAUUAUUAUACAAACGCCUAUAAUAUUAUGUAUAUAUAGGGACACGAAAAAAUUCCACGAGCGCAAUUUUUUUCCUACACAUUUCGUCGCUACAUAGCUCAUAUUAUAUGCUGCAAUUCCUGCAAGCAGGUACACACAGUGAUCUCUUGCAUUGAACUCGGCCGCAGGAUCGUGAUCGAAAACGUAAAGUAUAAUCGUGUCGUACAGGGCUUGAACUAUAUCCGUUUCGGUGCUUUUUUCCGAGUUCGGCAUACCACCUCACGUAUCCUAUAUAUAUAUACAGUAUACAUACAUAAUUUAUACCGACAAACUUUCACUCAUCGGAUGGUAAAAUAAAUACCUCAGCCGGGAGUGUUUAAAAAUACCCCAUAUAGCUCUUAUUCACGCCGGGAAAUAUAUUCCAACAGGAAAUCGUUAAUGUGCAUUGAAAUUAUGCGUUUCUGGUGUAAAAAAAAACGUGACACUUUGACACAGCGCGGCGGGUUAUAUGCGUUGUUGCAUAAACAUUACUCCCUGUUAAAAACGUAUGUACGAAUAUCAAUAUUCUCAUUUACAUAAUAUAAUACAUACUGGAUGAUUCACCAAGUACGCUCACCCCUUUUUCUUUUUAACGUGUAGUUCUUCGAAAACUGAUUUUUAAAUUUUUAUAAAAAUGCUUUAAGACCGUAUUUUUAAAUCCUUGAGAUUUUUUUUAAUUGUUACUUGAAAGAGAAGCCUUGGAUAUACCGUGAUCUGCUACAGUUUUACAUAAGUUCCCCCUUACUUACUGUAAAUUAUUUAGUAAUUUUUUUGAAAAUACUCAAAAUUCGAACGAAUAUUUAGUUCUCUAACUUUGUAUAACAAAGUAUGUAAGGUCUAUAAUUGGAUUUGAAAGACAUAAGGCCUAUAUUCCUAAUGAUGAUGAUUUGAACAUUUUAGUAAAAUUAUAAUUUUAAAAA